RNAcentral lists this ribosomal RNA (492 nucleotides) under uncultured bacterium. RNAcentral describes it as "partial 16S ribosomal RNA". It matches the Rfam family "Bacterial small subunit ribosomal RNA", at positions 29 to 507 of the family's 1533-position model. The record is from RNAcentral.
AGUGAACGCUGGCGGUAGGCCUAACACAUGCAAGUCGAACGGCAGCACAGUAAGAGCUUGCUCUUACGGGUGGCGAGUGGCGGACGGGUGAGGAAUACAUCGGAAUCUACUUUUUCGUGGGGGAUAACGUAGGGAAACUUACGCUAAUACCGCAUAUGACCUACGGGUGAAAGCAGUGGAUCUUCGGACCUUGCGCGAUUGAAUGAGCCGAUGCCGGAUUAGCUAGUUGGCGGGGUAAAGGCCCACCAAGGCGACGAUCCGUAGCUGGUCUGAGAGGAUGAUCAGCCACACUGGAACUGAGACACGGUCCAGACUCCUACGGGAGGCAGCAGUGGGGAAUAUUGGACAAUGGGCGCAAGCCUGAUCCAGCCACACCGCGUGGGUGAAGAAGGCCUUCGGGUUGUAAAGCCCUUUUGUUGGGAAAGAAAAGCAGCAGGUUAAUCCCCCGCUGUUCUGACGGUACCCAAAGAAUAAGCACCGGCUAACUUCGUG